GAUGAACGCUGGCGGCGUGCCUAAUACAUGCAAGUCGAGCGAAUGGAUUGAGAGCUUGCUCUUAUGAAGUUAGCGGCGGACGGGUGAGUAACACGUGGGUAACCUGCCCAUAAGACUGGGAUAACUCCGGGAAACCGGGGCUAAUACCGGAUAACAUUUUGAACCGCAUGGUUCGAAAUUGAAAGGCGGCUUCGGCUGUCACUUAUGGAUGGACCCGCGUCGCAUUAGCUAGUUGGUGAGGUAACGGCUCACCAAGGCAACGAUGCGUAGCCGACCUGAGAGGGGGAUCGGCCACACUGGGACUGAGACACUGCCCAGACUCCUACGGGAGGCAGCAGUAGGGAAUCUGCCGCAAUGGACGAAAGUCUGACGGAGCAACGCCGCGUGAGUGAUGAAGGCUUUCGGGUUGUAAAACUCUGUUGUUAGGGAAGAACAAGUGCUAGUUGAAUAAGCUGGCACCUUGACGGUACCUAACCAGAAAGCCACGGCUAACUACGUGCCAGCAGCCGCGGUAA
RNAcentral lists this ribosomal RNA (515 nucleotides) under uncultured bacterium. RNAcentral's name for it is "partial 16S ribosomal RNA". It matches the Rfam family "Bacterial small subunit ribosomal RNA", at positions 28 to 523 of the family's 1533-position model. The record is from RNAcentral.